AGAGUGUGAUGCCUGGCUCAGAACGAACGCUGGCGGCAGGCUUAACACAUGGCAAGUGCGAACGCUCCGCAAGGAGAGUGGCAGACGGGUGAGUAACGCGUGGGAACAUACCCCUCGGUUCGGAAUAACUCAGGGAAACUUGAGCUAAUACCGAAUACGGUCGAGAGGCGAAAGAUUUAUCGCCGAGGGAUUGGCGCCCGCGUCCGAUUAGCUAGUUGGUGAGGUAAUGGCUCACCAAGGCGACGAUCGGUAACUGGUCUGAAAAGAUUAUCAGCCCCAUUGGGAAUGAGACACGGCCCCAACUCCUACGGGAGGCAGCAGUAAGGAAUAUUGGUCAAUGGGCGGAAGCCUGAACCAGCCAUGCCGCGUGCAGGAAGACGGCCCUACGGGUUGUAAACUGCUUUUAUACCGGAAUAAACCUUUCUACGUGUAGGAAG
Molecule: ribosomal RNA, 437 nt
Filed under: uncultured bacterium
Lineage: Bacteria
Description: bacterial SSU rRNA
Rfam family: Bacterial small subunit ribosomal RNA
Source: RNAcentral